Molecule: ribosomal RNA, 402 nt
Filed under: uncultured bacterium
Lineage: Bacteria
Description: bacterial SSU rRNA
Rfam family: Bacterial small subunit ribosomal RNA
Source: RNAcentral
UCGGGAAUUUUGGGCAAUGGGCGAAAGCCUGACCCAGCAACGCCGCGUGAGGGAUGAAGUAUUUCGGUAUGUAAACCUCGAAAGAAUGGGAAGAAUAAAUGACGGUACCAUUUAUAAGCUCCGGCUAACUACGUGCCAGCAGCCGCGGUAAUACGUAGGGAGCAAGCGUUGUUCGGAUUUACUGGGCGUAAAGGGCGCGUAGGCGGCGCGGUAAGUCACUUGUGAAAUCUCUGAGCUUAACUCAGAACGGCCAAGGGAUACUGCUGUGCUAGAGUGCGGAAGAGGCAACCGGAAUUCUUGGUGUGGCGGUGAAAUGCGUAGAUAUCAAGAGGAACACCUGAGGCGAAGGCGGGUUGCUGGGCCGACACUGACGCUGAUGCGCGAAAGCCAGGGGAGCAAACG